UUUCCGGUUGAUCCUGCCGCCGGCCACCGCUAUCAAGUUCCGACUAAGCCAUGCGAGUCAAGGUAUCGUAAGAUGCCGGCAAACUGCUCAGUAACACGUGGAUAAUCUAACCUUGAGUAAGGGAUAACCUCGGGAAACUGAGGAUAAUACCUUAUAAUUGCUUAAAACUGGAAUGUUUAAGCAAUAAAAGUUCCGACGCUCAAGGAUGAGUCUGCGACCUAUCAGGUAGUAGGUGGUGUAAUGGACCACCUAGCCUCAGACGGGUACGGGCCCUGGGAGGGGUAGCCCGGAGAUGGACUCUGAGACAUCAGUCCAGGCCCUACGGGGCGCAGCAGGCGCGAACACUGUGCAAUGCGCGAAAGCGUGACACGGGGAGCUUGAGUGUCUUGGCAUAGCCAAGACUUUUCUCAUUCCUAAAAAGCAUGAGGAAUAAGUGCUGGGUAAGACGGGUGCCAGCCGCCGCGGUAACACCCGCAGCACAAGUGGUGGUCACUUUUAUUGAGCCUAAAGCGUUCGUAGCCGGUUUUGUAAAUCUUUAGAUAAAGCCUGAAGCUUAACUCCAGAAAGUCUGAAGAGACUGCAAGACUUGAGAUCGGGUGAGGUUAAACGUACUUUCAGGGUAGGGGUAAAAUCCUGUAAUCCCGGAAGGACGACCAGUGGCGAAAGCGUUUAACUAGAACGAAUCUGACGGUAAGGAACGAAGGCUAGGGUAGCAAACCGGAUUAGAUACCCGGGUAGUCCUAGCUGUAAACACUGCCCAUUUGAUGUUGCUUUUCCGUUGAGGGAAGGCAGUGUCGGAGCGAAGGUGUUAAAUGGGCCGCUUGGGAAGUAUGGUCGCAAGACUGAAACUUAAAGGAAUUGGCGGGGGAGCACCGCAACGGGAGGAAUGUGCGGUUUAAUUGGAUUCAACGCCGGA
RNAcentral lists this ribosomal RNA (916 nucleotides) under uncultured archaeon. Its description in RNAcentral is "bacterial SSU rRNA". It matches the Rfam family "Archaeal small subunit ribosomal RNA", at positions 1 to 922 of the family's 1478-position model. The record is from RNAcentral.